CAAGUCGAGCGAGGCGGCCCGCAAGGGUCAGUCGAGCGGCGAACGGGUGAGUAACGCGUGGAUUAUCUACCCUGAGGUGGGGGAUAACCCGGGGAAACUCGGGCUAAUACCGCAUGAUACCGUGAGGUCAAAGGGGGCUCGCAAGGGCUCUCGCCAUAGGAGGAGUCCGCGUCCGAUUAGCUAGUUGGUAGGGUAAUGGCCUACCAAGGCAACGAUCGGUAGCCGGCCUGAGAGGGUGAUCGGCCACACUGGAACUGAGACACGGUCCAGACUCCUACGGGAGGCAGCAGUGGGGAAUUUUGCGCAAUGGGCUAACGCCUGACGCAGCAACGCCGCGUGGAGGAUGAAGGUCUUUGGAUUGUAAACUCCUGUCGACCGGGAAAAAGCGACUCGACCUAAUACGUCGGGGAGUUGAUUGUACCGGUGGAGGAAGCCCCGGCUAACUCUGUGCCAGCAGCCGCGGUAAUACAGAGGGGGCAAGCGUUAUUCGGAAUUAUUGGGCGUAAAGGGCGCGUAGGCGGCCUGGCAAGUGGAAGGUGAAAUCCCUCGGCUUAACCGAGGAACUGCCCUCCAAACUGCUUGGCUUGAGUCCGGGAGAGGUGAGUGGAAUUCCCAGUGUAGCGGUGAAAUGCGUAGAUAUUGGGAGGAACACCAGUGGCGAAGGCGGCUCACUGGACCGGAACUGACGCUGAGGCGCGAAAGCGUGGGGAGCAAACGGGAUUAGAUACCCCGGUAGUCCACGCCGUAAACGAUGAGUGCUUGGUGUAGCGGGUAUCGACCCCUGCUGUGCCGAAGUCAACACAUUAAGCACUCCGCCUGGGGAAGUACGGUCGC
Molecule: ribosomal RNA, 834 nt
Filed under: uncultured Bacillota bacterium
Lineage: Bacteria; Bacillati; Bacillota
Description: bacterial SSU rRNA
Rfam family: Bacterial small subunit ribosomal RNA
Source: RNAcentral